UACAGAGGUCCCAAGCGUUGUUCGGAUUCACUGGGCGUAAAGGGUGCGUAGGUGGCCGGGUAAGUCUGACGUGAAAUCUCCGAGCCUAACUCGGAAACUGCGUCGGAUACUAUCCGGCUUGAGGGUUGGAGGGGGGACUGGAAUACUUGGUGUAGCAGUGAAAUGCGUAGAUAUCAAGCGGAACACCAGUGGCGAAGGCGAGUCCCUGGACAACACCUGACACUGAGGCACGAAAGCUAGGGGAGCAAACAGG
RNAcentral lists this ribosomal RNA (253 nucleotides) under uncultured bacterium. RNAcentral describes it as "partial 16S ribosomal RNA". It matches the Rfam family "Bacterial small subunit ribosomal RNA", at positions 524 to 776 of the family's 1533-position model. The record is from RNAcentral.